This 494-nucleotide long non-coding RNA is filed under the name Dasypus novemcinctus (nine-banded armadillo). Its description in RNAcentral is "lncRNA (ENSDNOG00000052575.1)". The record is from RNAcentral. Lineage: Eukaryota; Metazoa; Chordata; Mammalia; Cingulata; Dasypodidae.
AAAUGUAUAUUUGAAAAAUAAUCUGAAAGCUUUUCUAUUCUAUUCCACAGGACUUAAAUACUAUUUAUUCUUACCUUCAUGGAAUGGAAAUAUUAUCAAAUCUCAGGGAACAUCAGCUUAGAUUAAUGUCUGCAAGAGCACGCUAUGAAAGAUACAGUAGCAAUCAAAUUCUUUUUUGGUAAGUAUUUCCAUAAUUUGCUUAAAUUUAUGAUGUUUAAAUUUUAACUUUUAGUCUUGAUAUUCAUAUUUUGGAGCAAUUUCUGUAGAACAGUUUGAGAUGUAUUUAGGAAUUGUGAAGUAUGACUUAGAGUACAAAACUGCAAUAAAAUCUGAAGUAUGCAAUUUGAUGAAUUGUAAUAAACAUCUAUAGCUGUCUUAACUAUUACCCCAAUGAAAAUGUAGAACAUAUCAGCUCUCCAGAACACUUCAGUUAACCCUCUUCUAGAAAAGUAAUCACAUAGUUCUGACUUUGACCACCAUAAUUUAGUUUCGUC